Molecule: ribosomal RNA, 501 nt
Filed under: uncultured bacterium
Lineage: Bacteria
Description: partial 16S ribosomal RNA
Rfam family: Bacterial small subunit ribosomal RNA
Source: RNAcentral
AUUGAACGCUGGCGGCAUGCUUUACACAUGCAAGUCGAACGGUAACAGGGAGCUUGCUCCGCUGACGAGUGGCGAACGGGUGAGUAAUAUAUCGGAACGUGCCCAAGAGUGGGGGAUAACGUAGCGAAAGUUACGCUAAUACCGCAUACGAUCCAAGGAUGAAAGCAGGGGACCUUCGGGCCUUGUGCUCCUGGAGCGGCCGAUAUCUGAUUAGCUAGUUGGUGAGGUAAAGGCUCACCAAGGCGACGAUCAGUAGCUGGUCUGAGAGGACGACCAGCCACACUGGAACUGAGACACGGUCCAGACUCCUACGGGAGGCAGCAGUGGGGAAUUUUGGACAAUGGGGGCAACCCUGAUCCAGCAAUGCCGCGUGAGUGAAGAAGGCCUUCGGGUUGUAAACCACUGUCAGUGGGAAAGAAGGGUGUUGGCGCGAUAACCGCUGACAUCUGACGGUACCUGCAGAGGAAGCCCCGGCCAACUUCGUGCCAGCAGCCGCUGUAA